RNAcentral lists this small RNA (149 nucleotides) under Edwardsiella tarda. RNAcentral's name for it is "CpoB/ybgF ICR thermometer". It matches the Rfam family "CpoB/ybgF ICR thermometer". From Rfam's summary of the family: Imprinting control region from upstream of cpoB/ybgF (tol/pal system protein). Lineage: Bacteria; Pseudomonadati; Pseudomonadota; Gammaproteobacteria; Enterobacterales; Hafniaceae. The record is from RNAcentral.
CAGAUCGAUAUCGUUUCUUACGGUAAAGAGAAGCCGGCAGUGCUGGGUCACGACGAAGCGGCUUACGCUAAGAACCGUCGUGCCGUACUGGUUUACUAAUUUCUUGUGUAGACGAGUAACGAAUGAGCAGUAACUUCAGACGUCAUGUG